CAAGGGACGCUGAAGGGCACUGUUUAAAAAUGCUAUUUGCUGUACACUGAAAUAAACUUUUAUUUGUAUUCACCCAAAAAAAAAAAAUUUAUUUCUUAGGAAGUNCUUCCUCUAUUUUUCAUUGCACGGGGAAAACGCGUAGUCUAGUGCACAGCAUGGGUCAGCUAUGCUUGUUCUCUUUCAAUUCUUUCAUGAAGAAAUUACAGGCCAGCAAAGCCGCCCCAACAGCUGGUUCCACCUGUGGUCUAACCGGAUAAGCCCCAGGGAAGAACUCCUGAAUGCAUUUCACAACUUCUUUUCCUA
This 303-nucleotide unclassified non-coding RNA is filed under the name Hevea brasiliensis (rubber tree). Lineage: Eukaryota; Viridiplantae; Streptophyta; Magnoliopsida; Malpighiales; Euphorbiaceae. The record is from RNAcentral.